RNAcentral lists this ribosomal RNA (398 nucleotides) under uncultured bacterium. Its description in RNAcentral is "bacterial SSU rRNA". It matches the Rfam family "Bacterial small subunit ribosomal RNA", at positions 362 to 776 of the family's 1533-position model. The record is from RNAcentral.
UAUUGCGCAAUGGAGGCAACUCUGACGCAGUGACGCCUCGUAUAGGAAGAAGGUUUUCGGAUUGUAAACUAUUGUCCUCAGGGAAGAAAAAAGACUGUACCUGAGAAGAAAGCUCCGGCUAACUACGUGCCAGCAGCCGCGGUAAUACGUAGGGAGCAAGCGUUAUCCGGAAUUAUUGGGUGUAAAGGGUGCGUAGACGGGAUAACAAGUUGGUUGUGAAACCCCUCGGCUCAACUGAGGAACUGCAACCAAAACUAUUAUUCUUGAGUGCAGGAGAGGAAAGUGGAAUUCCUAGUGUAGCGGUGAAAUGCGUAGAUAUUAGGAAGAACACCGGUGGCGAAGGCGGCCUGCUGGACUGUAGCUGACGUUGAGGCUCGAAGGCGUGGGGAGCAAACAGG